UACGUAGGGGGCAAGCGUUGUCCGGAAUUACUGGGCGUAAAGCGCAUGUAGGCGGGAAGGUGUGUCGAACGUGAAAGGCUGCGGCUCAACCGCAGAGCGCCGUUCGAAACUGCCUUUCUUGAGGGCCGAAGAGGAGAGUGGAAUUCCCGGUGUAGCGGUGAAAUGCGUAGAGAUCGGGAGGAACACCCAUGGCGAAGGCAGCUCUCUGGUCGGCCUCUGACGCUGAGAUGCGAAAGCGUGGGGAGCGAACGGG
This 253-nucleotide ribosomal RNA is filed under the name uncultured bacterium. RNAcentral's name for it is "partial 16S ribosomal RNA". It matches the Rfam family "Bacterial small subunit ribosomal RNA", at positions 524 to 776 of the family's 1533-position model. The record is from RNAcentral.